AAGCCAUACAUAAAUCUUGUUUGUUGAUCCAAGUAGACCUACCUCAUGCCCUAAGAUGAGAGGGAAAAAUUCAACCUGAAAGGAAGCCAGUGCCUUUUAAGUGUACUGGCUUCCUAGCACACAACCCAUACGUUUUGGCUACUUCUCAACAAAAGAGCAUGACAAGUUUACUGCAGCUAGAUUCCUACUAGUUCUGUGACACCUGUGCAAUGUUGGCUUUAAUAGCAUGAAGUCAGUCAGAGCUUAGGAAGGCAAACUGUUACACCUGAGAACUGGUUUGUUUGUGGAAGAAACAAAGAAGCCUAAGUGCAUCUUUAGGUCCUCUAGUUAGGCUUGAUUUAGGAGACUUCUUGUCACAAGCUUCCAGAAAUAGGAAGAGGAGGACUUCUAUUAGGAAUAAAUCAGGAUUUUCAGGCUCAGCUUGUUGCAGGAAGUGCUAACCUUUGAAGAACAAGAAUGUGUGGUGGAGUCAGAUUGAUAGGUGUUUUGGCUGUGGAACAAGUUUGGGACUGAUGGUUCGUUGGCAUGAGGCAGAGUCUACCAGCGGCCCCAGAGAGCCAGACGAAUAGGUCUGCAAAUUUCAGAUGCCAAAUUGCAGUUAACUAUGCUUCAGCUGAACAAAUUGCUAUUCUAAUCCCUCUACUAGCGUGAGCUGAAGUACUUUACUUUGGUUCCCAAAAACAAUUUGAACAUCUCUGUCAGAACAAAAACUUCAAUACCACAUAAAAAGGCUGACUGAAGAAGAACCUAUCAGAA
Molecule: long non-coding RNA, 756 nt
Filed under: Numida meleagris (helmeted guineafowl)
Lineage: Eukaryota; Metazoa; Chordata; Aves; Galliformes; Numididae
Description: lncRNA (ENSNMEG00000010316.1)
Source: RNAcentral